UGCAAGUCGAGCGGGGGAAGUUGCUUCGGUAACUGACCUAGCGGCGGACGGGUGAGUAAUACUUAGGAAUCUGCCUAUUAGUGGGGGACAACGUUUCGAAAGGAACGCUAAUACCGCAUACGUCCUACGGGAGAAAGCAGGGGAUCACUUGUGACCUUGCGCUAAUAGAUGAGCCUAAGUCGGAUUAGCUAGUUGGUGGGGUAAAGGCCUACCAAGGCGACGAUCUGUAGCGGGUCUGAGAGGAUGAUCCGCCACACUGGGACUGAGACACGGCCCAGACUCCUACGGGAGGCAGCAGUGGGGAAUAUUGGACAAUGGGGGGAACCCUGAUCCAGCCAUGCCGCGUGUGUGAAGAAGGCCUUAUGGUUGUAAAGCACUUUAAGCGAGGAGGAGGAGCUCUUGGUUAAUACCCAAGAUGCUUGGACGUUACUCGCAGAAUAAGCACCGGCUAACUCUGUGCCAGCAGCCGCGGUAAUACAGAGGGUGCGAGCGUUAAUCGGAUUUACUGGGCGUAAAGCGUGCGUAGGCGGCUUUUUAAGUCGGAUGUGAAAUCCCCGAGCUUAACUUGGGAAUUGCAUUCGAUACUGGGAAGCUAGAGUAUGGGAGAGGAUGGUAGAAUUCCAGGUGUAGCGGUGAAAUGCGUAGAGAUCUGGAGGAAUACCGAUGGCGAAGGCAGCCAUCUGGCCUAAUACUGACGCUGAGGUACGAAAGCAUGGGGAGCAAACAGGAUUAGAUACCCUGGUAGUCCAUGCCGUAAACGAUGUCUACUAGCCGUUGG
RNAcentral lists this ribosomal RNA (778 nucleotides) under Acinetobacter sp. 2P2B2. Its description in RNAcentral is "bacterial SSU rRNA". It matches the Rfam family "Bacterial small subunit ribosomal RNA", at positions 56 to 826 of the family's 1533-position model. The record is from RNAcentral. Lineage: Bacteria; Pseudomonadati; Pseudomonadota; Gammaproteobacteria; Moraxellales; Moraxellaceae.